Molecule: ribosomal RNA, 309 nt
Filed under: uncultured eukaryote
Lineage: Eukaryota
Description: partial 18S ribosomal RNA
Rfam family: Eukaryotic small subunit ribosomal RNA
Source: RNAcentral
CCCUUAGAUGUUCUGGGCGGCCCGCGCACUACAUUGGCACUAGCAAAGAGAUCCUAGAUUGAAUUCUUUGGGGUAUUCUUCUAAAUGGUGUCGUGACUGGGAUAAAUCCUUGUAAUUAUUGGUUUUGAACGAGGAAUUCCUUGUAAUCGCGGUUUAUCAGCUCGCGUUGAAUGCGCCCCUGCCCUUUGUACACACCGCCCGUCGCUCCUACCGAUGGAUCGUCCGGUGAAGCUCACGGAGUGACUGUUCACGCAACGGUUUACGAAGUGAAAUGGACCUCACGAUUUAGAGGAAGGAGAAGUCGUAACA